AGAGUUUGAUCCUGGCUCAGGACGAACGCUGGCGGCGCGCUUAACACAUGCAAGUCGAGCGAGAACCAGGGCUUCGGCCCUGGGGACAGCGGCGAACGGGUGAGUAACACGUGAGUAAUCUGCCCUCGGCGCCGGGAUAGCCCGGGGAAACCCGGAUUAAUACCGGAUGGCCUCUCGAGCUCUCGAGCUCGUGAGAAAAGAUGGCUUCGGCUUUCGGCCGAGGAGGAGCUUGCGGCGGAUUAGCUUGUUGGCGGGGUAACGGCCCACCAAGGCGACGAUCCGUAGCUGGUCUGAGAGGACGAUCAGCCACACUGGGACUGAGACACGGCCCAGACUCCUACGGGAGGCAGCAGUGGGGAAUCUUGCGCAAUGGGCGAAAGCCUGACGCAGCGACGCCGCGUGAGGGAAGAAGGCCUUCGGGUUGUAAACCUCUUUCAGGAGGGACGAAGCCACUCGGGUUAAUACCCCAGAGGGUGACGGUACCUCCAGAAGAAGCCCCGGCUAACUACGUGCCAGCAGCCGCGGUAAUACGUAGGGGGCAAGCGUUGUCCGGAAUUAUUGGGCGUAAAGAGCGUGUAGGCGGCCAGGUAGGUCUGCUGUGAAAACUCGAGGCUCAACUUCGAGAUGUCGGCGGAAACCAUUUGGCUAGAGUCCGGAAGAGGAGAGUGGAAUUCCUGGUGUAGCGGUGAAAUGCGCAGAUAUCAGGAAGAACACCCGCGGCGAAGGCGGCUCUCUGGGACGGUACUGACGCUGAGACGCGAAAGCGUGGGGAGCGAACAGGAUUAGAUACCCUGGUAGCCCACGCCGUAAACGAUGGGUGCUAGGUGUGGGCGGUGUCGACUCCGUCCGUGCCGAAGCUAACGCAUUAAGCACCCCGCCUGGGGAGUACGGCCGCAAGGCUAAAACUCAAAGGAAUUGACGG
RNAcentral lists this ribosomal RNA (922 nucleotides) under uncultured Rubrobacteria bacterium. RNAcentral describes it as "bacterial SSU rRNA". It matches the Rfam family "Bacterial small subunit ribosomal RNA", at positions 8 to 916 of the family's 1533-position model. Lineage: Bacteria; Bacillati; Actinomycetota; Rubrobacteria. The record is from RNAcentral.